Molecule: ribosomal RNA, 527 nt
Filed under: uncultured delta proteobacterium
Lineage: Bacteria; Deltaproteobacteria
Description: bacterial SSU rRNA
Rfam family: Bacterial small subunit ribosomal RNA
Source: RNAcentral
GCAGCGACGCCGUGUGAGGGAUGAAGUCUUUCGGGUCKUAAANCUCUGUCGGAAGGGAAGAACGGGCAUUGGUCUAAUAGGCCUUUGUWUUGACGGUACCUUUAGAGGAAGCACCGGCUAACUCCGUGCCAGCAGCCGCGGUAAUACGGAGNNUGCAAGCGUUAUUCGGAAUUACUGGGCGUAAAGCGCACGUAGGCGGCCUUGUAAGUCAGGGGUGAAAUCCCACGGCUCAACCGUGGAACUGCCUUUGAAACUGCAGGGCUUGAAUCCUGGAGAGGGUGGCGGAAUUCCUGGUGUAGGAGUGAAAUCCGUAGAUAUCAGGAGGAACACCGGUGGCGAAGGCGGCCACCUGGACAGGUAUUGACGCUGAGGUGCGAAAGUGUGGGGAGCAAACAGGAUUAGAUACCCUGGUAGUCCACACCKKAAAHGAUGGAUACUAGGUGUCGGGGACUUGAUCUUCGGUGCCGUAGCUAACGCGUUAAGUAUCCCGCCUGGGGAGUACGGUCGCAAGGCUGAAACUCHAAGGA